AGGACGAACGCUGGCGGCGUGCUUAACACAUGCAAGUCGAGCGGUGAUCCUCCUUCGGGAGGUGAUCAGCGGCGAACGGGUGAGUAACACGUGGGCAACCUGCCCCUCACACUGGGAUAACCUCGGGAAACCGGGGCUAAUACCGGAUACGACCUCGAGCGGCAUCUCUUGAGGUGGAAAGCUCCGACGGUGAGGAAUGGGCCCGCGGCCUAUCAGCUUGUUGGUGGGGUAAUGGCCUACCAAGGCGACGACGGGUA
This 257-nucleotide ribosomal RNA is filed under the name uncultured bacterium. Its description in RNAcentral is "partial small subunit ribosomal RNA". It matches the Rfam family "Bacterial small subunit ribosomal RNA", at positions 26 to 285 of the family's 1533-position model. The record is from RNAcentral.